GAGUUUGAUCUUGGCUCAGGACGAACGCUGGCGGCGUGCUUAACACAUGCAAGUGGAGCGACGAACCAGGCUUCGGCCUGGGGCAGAGCCGCGAACGGGUGAGUAACACGUGGGUAACCUGCCCCGAAGACCGGGACAACCCGAGGAAACUCGGGCUAAUACCGGAUGUGGUCACUCCUCACAAGUGGAGUGAGCAAAGGGAGCUUCGGCCCCCGCUUCGGGAUGGGCCCGCGGCCCAUUAGCUUGUUGGUGAGGUAACGGCUCACCAAGGCCGCGAUGGGUAGCUGGUCUGAGAGGACGAUCAGCCACACUGGGACUGAGACACGGCCCAGACUCCUACGGGAGGCAGCAGUGGGGAAUCUUGCGCAAUGGGCGACAGCCUGACGCAGCAACGCCGCGUGGGGGAAGAAGGCCUUCGGGUUG
RNAcentral lists this ribosomal RNA (423 nucleotides) under uncultured Actinomycetes bacterium. Its description in RNAcentral is "bacterial SSU rRNA". It matches the Rfam family "Bacterial small subunit ribosomal RNA", at positions 9 to 425 of the family's 1533-position model. The record is from RNAcentral. Lineage: Bacteria; Bacillati; Actinomycetota; Actinomycetes.